This is a long non-coding RNA of Rhododendron vialii, 1837 nucleotides long. RefSeq lists it as uncharacterized. Lineage: Eukaryota; Viridiplantae; Streptophyta; Magnoliopsida; Ericales; Ericaceae. The record is from RefSeq and is a predicted model, not a curated record. The transcript has 2 exons.
UAGACAGUGCGGAUAUUCAGUGUGACGUGUUCGUGGGAGGAUAUAAGGGUAAUUGUGCGAGAGGUGCACGUGUGUGUGUGUGGGGUGGGAGCAUGGGAUUACUCCCCAUGCCAAUAAUUUCCCCAGGAGACUACUUUCUCCCAUUUCUCUUUUCUCACUCUCUCGGCACUUUCUCUCCUCCUCUCCUCCGAAAAACUCCCUCCUCUCUUCUCUCUUCGAUUUCAUCUACCUAGGGGGUGAUUCCGGACAAGGCCCGAGAAUUAAAGUUGCUAUACGAAGCAUGGCCUUUCCGAAUAUCCAAGAAAAAUCACGAUCGGACCACGUGGGAGCUCGGUUGACUUAGUCAAAGGUUCAGGUUUUGCUCAAAACCCAUGAGCGUACAGGGCCGCGGGUUUUUCAUCGUUUGUUAUAGCUAAAUGACGCUAUUGGUUAUGGGUCCUUAUGGGUUUUAAAGAUUGGUAAGUUUUGAUCUUUUGGCGUUGGAAUCAUUGAAAAAUAUUGAAUGUGGAAUUUUUAAUAAUUGUCAAACACUGACUGCUCUCUGGGACAGUUUUGGUCCGUUGAUUCUCUUUUGUCUGUUUUGACUCUCAAUCACUUCUAACACCUUUUAAACAUCGUUAAACCAUCCCUAAGCUUGAUUACUUGAGUUCCUAUGAGUUAAUGAUCAUUCGAAUUCCUUUGAUACCCAUUGAGCGUAAUCUUAGUGUUGUUGUAAAUGGAAUAUGUGAUUUAAGGUUGUUUAGGAGUACCGAAGGCUAAGUGAGACGUUGUGGGAAGUAUAGUUGGUAGACGUGAGCUUUUCUAGUGAUCCGAGUGGUAGCAUAGUAAUCCGUGUCCGCAUGAUUCACUUAUCCUUCAAACUCUUUUGGCGCUCGUUCCACGAGAUCAAAGUAAUCAAUAUUAGUAAGUAGUAUGUUGUAGAGUCGCUAUGGAGUCGGUACGAUAUUGUGCUGUACUAAGAGAGAAAGGCGUGUACUGAUUUGUCAGUCGAUGUUCUGUUAUGAUUGAUCGUUUGGAAUACUUUGAAAUGUGAUUGUCGAUGCGUGUUUGACCUAUAAAUCAGUUUGAUUGACGUGCCUUAUUGUGUCAUGAGAUUAGAGAAGUGUUUGUUGAAUGAGUUGUAUGAUUGUUGGGAUUUGAAUGGUUGUAAUUGAGAAUUUGAAUGAGGAAGUGACUGCAACGCAAGUGGUGGAAAUGCAGACUGCAACGCAAGGGGUGGUAAUGCAGAGACCCAAAUAAUGGGUGAUGUUGACUGCAACGCAAGGGGUGGAAAUGCAAACUGCAACGCAAGGGGUGGAAAUGCAGAGUGGUUGAGAUUAUGAGAAGUGUCGAAAUGGUUGCGAACCUAUUGUGAGUACGUUUGAUUGAUGUGAUUUUAAUAAUAUUUCUACAUAACAUGUGAACGGUUAGGAAUACUUACAAGUUGUUUGGAGCUCUUUGGCCGUAGUCUGUCUUUCGUUGUGAUAAACUCGUGUUUCUCAUGUUCACUUAUCGAAUUCUUUCACUCUUUGUGCAUACUUCAUCGCAUUUUCAUAUAGCUUGAGUAUAGAUUUCUCUACUGGGCUAGUGUAGCUCAACCUACCAUUUUCAGGUACACUACAUGGACACAGUCUUGGAGGGUGUGAAGUGCAUGCAGACAUCACAGGCUAAAGUUAUUUUCUGAAGAACUUGUCUUUCCCUUGUAAAUCAAACUGUAUUGUAUUAUUUUCUCUAACUUGGAAUACUGUAUCAAUUGACAAAAUUGUGAGAUUUAGAAACUGUAUGUCGUAAUUUGGGGUACCAUAUAUACUAUUGUGAGGAUUUAUAUUUAAAAUGGUAUUGUUAUUUAUGUUAAAAA